GAUGAACGCUGGCGGCGUGCCUAAUACAUGCAAGUAGAACGCUGAAGGAGGAGCUUGCUCUUCUGGAUGAGUUGCGAACGGGUGAGUAACGCGUAGGUAACCUGCCUGGUAGCGGGGGAUAACUAUUGGAAACGAUAGCUAAUACCGCAUGACAACAGUUAUUGCAUGAUAACUGUUUAAAAGGGGCAACUGCUCCACUACCAGAUGGACCUGCGUUGUAUUAGCUAGUUGGUGAGGUAACGGCUCACCAAGGCGACGAUACAUAGCCGACCUGAGAGGGUGAUCGGCCACACUGGGACUGAGACACGGCCCAGACUCCUACGGGAGGCAGCAGUAGGGAAGCUUCGGCAAUGGACGGAAGUCUGACCGAGCAACGCCGCGUGAGUGAAGAAGGUUUUCGGAUCGUAAAGCUCUGUUGUAAGAGAAGAACGAGUGUGAGAGUGGAAAGUUCACACUGUGACGGUAGCUUACCAGAAAGGGACGGCUAACUACGUG
This 495-nucleotide ribosomal RNA is filed under the name uncultured bacterium. RNAcentral's name for it is "partial 16S ribosomal RNA". It matches the Rfam family "Bacterial small subunit ribosomal RNA", at positions 28 to 507 of the family's 1533-position model. The record is from RNAcentral.